GAGUAAUGAGGGGCGGGCAGCGGAGGUAAUACGUAGGUUCCGAGGGGUGGCCGGAUUUAGUGGUGGUAAAGCGAGCGCAGGUGGUUACAUAAGGCUGAAGUAAAAGGCAGUGGCGCAACCAUUGUAUGCUUUGGAAACUGUGUAACUUGAGUGCAGAAGGGGAGAGUGGAAUUCCAUGUGUAGCGGUGAAAUGCGUAGAUAUAUGGAGGAACACCGGUGGCGAAAGCGGCUCUCUGGUCUGUAACUGACACUGAGGCUCGAAAGCGUGGGGAGCAAACAGGAUUAGAACCCUGGUAGUC
RNAcentral lists this ribosomal RNA (299 nucleotides) under uncultured Lactobacillus sp. Its description in RNAcentral is "partial 16S ribosomal RNA". It matches the Rfam family "Bacterial small subunit ribosomal RNA", at positions 495 to 795 of the family's 1533-position model. The record is from RNAcentral. Lineage: Bacteria; Bacillati; Bacillota; Bacilli; Lactobacillales; Lactobacillaceae.